This 429-nucleotide ribosomal RNA is filed under the name Chloroflexota bacterium. RNAcentral describes it as "Chloroflexi bacterium partial 16S ribosomal RNA". It matches the Rfam family "Bacterial small subunit ribosomal RNA", at positions 355 to 776 of the family's 1533-position model. Lineage: Bacteria; Bacillati; Chloroflexota. The record is from RNAcentral.
UGGGGAAUAUUGCACAAUGGGCGCAAGCCUGAUGCAGCCAUGCCGCGUGUGUGAAGAAGGCCUUCGGGUUGUAAAGCACUUUCAGCGGGGAGGAAGGCGUUAAGGUUAAUAACCUUGGCGAUUGACGUUACCCGCAGAAGAAGCACCGGCUAACUCCGUGCCAGCAGCCGCGGUAAUACGGAGGGUGCAAGCGUUAAUCGGAAUUACUGGCCGUAAAGCGCACGCAGGCGGUCUGUCAAGUCGGAUGUGAAAUCCCCGGGCUCAACCUGGGAACUGCAUUCGAAACUGGCAGGCUAGAGUCUUGUAGAGGGGGGUAGAAUUCCAGGUGUAGCGGUGAAAUGCGUAGAGAUCUGGAGGAAUACCGGUGGCGAAGGCGGCCCCCUGGACAAAGACUGACGCUCAGGUGCGAAAGCGUGGGGAGCAAACAGG